Molecule: ribosomal RNA, 492 nt
Filed under: uncultured bacterium
Lineage: Bacteria
Description: partial 16S ribosomal RNA
Rfam family: Bacterial small subunit ribosomal RNA
Source: RNAcentral
AGUGAACGCUGGCGGUAGGCCUAACACAUGCAAGUCGAACGGCAGCACAGUAAGAGCUUGCUCUUACGGGUGGCGAGUGGCGGACGGGUGAGGAAUACAUCGGAAUCUACUUUUUCGUGGGGGAUAACGUAGGGAAACUUACGCUAAUACCGCAUACGACCUACGGGUGAAAGCAGGGGAUCUUCGGACCUUGCGCGAUUGAAUGAGCCGAUGUCGGAUUAGCUAGUUGGCGGGGUAAAGGCCCACCAAGGCGACGAUCCGUAGCUGGUCUGAGAGGAUGAUCAGCCACACUGGAACUGAGACACGGUCCAGACUCCUAUGGGAGGCAGCAGUGGGGAAUAUUGGACAAUGGGCGCAAGCCUGAUCCGGCCAUACCGCGUGGGUGAAGAAGGCCUUCGGGUUGUAAAGCCCUUUUGUUGGGAAAGAAAAGCAGCAGGUUAAUACCCCGCUGUUCUGACGGUACCCAAAGAAUAAGCACCGGCUAACUUCGUG